CAAUGAAAGUAGAAGUUUCCGCUUCUCACCUUAUAGCUAUGGCUCAUAUGGUCAGUUAAAACAAAUAUAAAUCUUAUGUGUAUAAGAUUUAUUAUUCAUGUAAACUUAGAGCGGGUAUUUUUAUACCGGCUCUUUAUUAUUUUA
Tissierella creatinophila DSM 6911 is the source of this 144-nucleotide regulatory RNA element. It matches the Rfam family "Ribosomal protein L20 leader". Rfam says of the family: This family is a putative r-protein leader autoregulatory structure found in B. subtilis and other low-GC Gram-positive bacteria. It is located in the 5' untranslated regions of mRNAs encoding initiation factor 3 followed by ribosomal proteins L35 and L20 (infC-rpmI-rplT). The record is from Rfam. NCBI's taxonomy places the organism in Bacteria, Bacillati, Bacillota, Tissierellia, Tissierellales, Tissierellaceae.